This 200-nucleotide ribosomal RNA is filed under the name uncultured organism. RNAcentral's name for it is "partial small subunit ribosomal RNA". It matches the Rfam family "Bacterial small subunit ribosomal RNA", at positions 1184 to 1382 of the family's 1533-position model. The record is from RNAcentral.
GUCAAAUCAUCAUGCCCCUUAUGACCUGGGCUACACACGUGCUACAAUGGACAGAACAAAGGGCAGCGAAACCGCGAGGUUAAGCCAAUCCCACAAAUCUGUUCUCAGUUCGGAUCGCAGUCUGCAACUCGACUGCGUGAAGUCGGAAUCGCUAGUAAUCGUGAAUCAGCAAUGUCACGGUGAAUACGUUCCCGGGUCUU